RNAcentral lists this small RNA (80 nucleotides) under Flavobacterium sp. KMS. RNAcentral's name for it is "Flavo-1 RNA". It matches the Rfam family "Flavo-1 RNA". Lineage: Bacteria; Pseudomonadati; Bacteroidota; Flavobacteriia; Flavobacteriales; Flavobacteriaceae. The record is from Rfam by way of RNAcentral.
UUCUAGCCCCGAUAGUAGCGGUAUCCUUUUUUCAUGCUUUUUUUGCAUGGAAAAAGAUAUAGCGUAUAGCGGGAAAUAGC